This 1415-nucleotide long non-coding RNA is filed under the name Equus asinus (donkey). Its description in RNAcentral is "lncRNA (ENSEASG00005033668.1)". Lineage: Eukaryota; Metazoa; Chordata; Mammalia; Perissodactyla; Equidae. The record is from RNAcentral.
AACUGGUGAACCCUGGGCUGCCAAAGUGGAGUGCGCCUCACCAUUGCCUGAUGAGCGGUGCCAUGUCUGCACCCAGGAUCCAAAUCGGCAAAGCCCUGGGUGGCCGAAGCAGAGCUGUUUUCCUCUAUCUUCAGAUGGGAUAAUUUCAAUGGAUCUACAUUCAAGUUCACUGACACUUUCUUCUGUUGUCUCCAAUCUGCUGUUAAGCCCAUUCGACAUAUUUAUAAUAGCUCCUUUGAAGACCUUGUCUGCUGUUUCCAAUAUCUUGGCCAUCUCAGGGGUUUUCUGUUGAGUACUUUUAAAAAAAUUUCUUAACAGUGAAUUACAUUUUCCUGCUUCUUUGAAGUUUAGGACUUUUUAUUCCACAUUAGGCAUUGUGGGGAGAAAGUGGUAGAAACUGUGCAUUCUGGUAUCUUCCUCCAAAAGUGUUUAUUUUUGUUCUAACAGACAGUUAAAUUACUGGUCAUUCUCUUUGACCUUGUGUAGACCAGGUUUAAUGCUUUGCUACAUUGUUUUAAAAUAUGAAACGUACUGUUUUAAAGACUGAUAUUUCACUAAAUCUAGCUGAGAUACAGUUGAAAGCAACUAUAACAACAACAAAAAACCCAUAAAUGAGUUGAAACAGUUUUACAAAGUAGAUUCAAACAGAAAGAGAGAAAAGAAGAACGAAGACAAGCCUGCUGUCUUCCCAUUGUGCAUAGGACUGAAUGCAAUCUCUUGAAAUUAAGAUUCAUCACCCUUUAGAGUCCCAUCCCAGAGGAAACGUCCAGUUUUCUCAUCUCUGCUAUAUUCUACUAACACGCGGCAGUAGGAUCCAACUCAGUUAGAGUCUCAGAGCUUCUGCAAAUGCUGUUUUCUACACCAAAACACUCUUAUGGUUAAUAUCUUCUAAACACUGCUCACAUGCUACUCACAAAACUUGUUCUAAUUCUAUCAGACAAGGCUGGGUCCUGCAUCCUGAGACCUUCCACAAUACUUUUUUUUCACGUCUCUAUUACAGAUUUUAUUUUACCAUAUCACUUUUCUACAGGAAUUCUUCUUAAACAUUUAUUCAUUUAUUCAACAACAACUACUCUGUACAUAAAACGUACCAGGCAUUGGCCUGGGUGCUCAGGAUGUACUGAUGAAGACAAUACAGAUGACUUCUAGCCUCAGAGUGUAGUGGGUAUUGUAUCCAGAUUUUAUCUUGAGAAGCAGUACUGGACAGUGGUUAAGGGAAUGAACUUUGGAUUACUGGGCAUUGUUUGAAGCCCACCUCUACCAUUUGUGAGCUGUGUGUCCUUAAACAAGUUACUUAAUUUCUCUGUGUCUCAUUUUCACCAUUUGUUAAUUGUAGAUAAUAUUUCAUAGGUUUCUUGUGAGCAGUAAAUAAGUUAAAAUGUAUAAAACAUUUAGAAUGGUGCCUGGCAUAUAAG